This 166-nucleotide ribosomal RNA is filed under the name uncultured bacterium. RNAcentral's name for it is "partial 16S rRNA". It matches the Rfam family "Bacterial small subunit ribosomal RNA", at positions 355 to 511 of the family's 1533-position model. The record is from RNAcentral.
UAGGGAAUCUUCGGCAAUGGGGGCGAACCCUGACCGAGCAACGCCGCGUGAGUGAAGAAGGUUUUCGGAUCGUAAAGCUCUGUUGUAAGAGAAGAACGUGUGUGAGAGUGGAAAGUUCACACAGUGACGGUAACUUACCAGAAAGGGACGGCUAACUACGUGCUAG